RNAcentral lists this ribosomal RNA (116 nucleotides) under Pteropus alecto (black flying fox). The record is from RNAcentral. Lineage: Eukaryota; Metazoa; Chordata; Mammalia; Chiroptera; Pteropodidae.
GUCUACGGCCAUGCCACCCUGAGCAAGCCCCAUGUCUGAUCUCGGAAGCUAAGCAGGGUCGGGCCUGGUUAGUACUUGGAUGGGAGACCACCUAGGAAGACCAAGUGCUGUAAGCA